RNAcentral lists this ribosomal RNA (254 nucleotides) under uncultured bacterium. RNAcentral describes it as "partial 16S ribosomal RNA". It matches the Rfam family "Bacterial small subunit ribosomal RNA", at positions 524 to 776 of the family's 1533-position model. The record is from RNAcentral.
UACGUAGGGGGCGAGCGUUGUCCGGAAUUAUUGGGCGUAAAGAGCUCGUAGGCGGUGUGUCGCGUCGGCCGUGAAAACCUGCAGCUUAACUGUGGGCUUGCGGUCGAUACGGGCAUCACUGGAGUUCGGCAGGGGAGACUGGAAUUCCUGGUGUAGCGGUGAAAUGCGCAGAUAUCAGGAGGAACACCGGUGGCGAAGGCGGGUCUCUGGGCCGAUACUGACGCUGAGGAGCGAAAGCGUGGGGAGCGAACGGG